Molecule: ribosomal RNA, 1454 nt
Filed under: metagenome
Description: bacterial SSU rRNA
Rfam family: Bacterial small subunit ribosomal RNA
Source: RNAcentral
CGUUGGCGGCGUGGAUUAGGCAUGCAAGUCGCGCGAGAAAUUUUCUUCGGAAAGUGGAAAGCGGCGGAAGGGAGAGGAUAAGGUAGAGAUCUACCCUCGGGACGGGGAUAGCUGCGGGAAACUGCUGGUAAUACCCGAUAAUAUCUUUGGAUCAAAGGUGUGAUUCCGCCUGGGGAUGAGUCUACUUCCUAUUAGCUAGUUGGCAGGGUAAUGGCCUACCAAGGCAACGAUGGGUAGCGGGUGUGAGAGCAUGACCCGCCUCACUGGGACUGAGAACUGCCCAGACACCUACGGGUGGCUGCAGUCGAGAAUCUUCGGCAAUGGGCGCAAGCCUGACCGAGCGACGCCGCGUGCGGGAUGAAGGCCUUCGGGUUGUAAACCGCUGUCGUAGGGGAACAAAUGUAGUGGGGUUCUCCCCAUUACUUGAGUGAUCCUAGGAGGAAGGGGAGGCUAAGCUCGUGCCAGCAGCCGCGGUAAGACGAGCUCCCCGAACGUUAUUCGGGAAUUACUUGGCGUAAAGCGUGCGCAGGCGGUUUUGUAAGACAGGCGUGAAAUCCCCGGGCUCAACCUGGGAACUGCGUUUGUGACUGCAAGGCUAGAGUAUGGCAGAGGGGGGUGGAAUUCCACGUGUAGCAGUGAAAUGCGUAGAGAUGUGGAGGAACACCAAUGGCGAAGGCAGCCCCCUGGGCCAAUACUGACGCUCAUGCACGAAAGCGUGGGGAGCAAACAGGAUUAGAUACCCUGGUAGUCCACGCCCUAAACGAUGUCAACUAGGUGUUGGGUGGGUAAAACCAUUUGGUACCGUAGCUAACGCGUGAAGUUGACCGCCUGGGGAGUACGGCCGCAAGGUUAAAACUCAAAGGAAUUGACGGGGACCCGCACAAGCGGUGGAUGAUGUGGAUUAAUUCGAUGCAACGCGAAAAACCUUACCUACCCUUGACAUGCCAGGAACUUGCCAGAGAUGGCUUGGUGCCCGAAAGGGAGCCUGGACACAGGUGCUGCAUGGCUGUCGUCAGCUCGUGUCGUGAGAUGUUGGGUUAAGUCCCGCAACGAGCGCAACCCUUGUCGUUAAUUGCCAUCAUUUAGUUGGGCACUUUAACGAGACUGCCGGUGACAAACCGGAGGAAGGUGGGGAUGACGUCAAGUCCUCAUGGCCCUUAUGGGUAGGGCUUCACACGUCAUACAAUGGUCGGUACAAAGGGUUGCCAAGCCGCGAGGCGGAGCCAAUCCCAGAAAGCCGAUCGUAGUCCGGAUCGCAGGCUGCAACUCGCCUGCGUGAAGUCGGAAUCGCUAGUAAUCGUGGAUCAGCAUGUCACGGUGAAUACGUUCCCGGGUCUUGUACACACCGCCCGUCACACCAUGGGAGCGGGUUCCGCCAGAAGUAGGUAGCCUAACCGCAAGGAGGGCGCUUGCCACGGCGGGGUUCGUGACUGGGGUGAAGUCGUAACAAGGUA